AAUCCCAUUUUUUGAGCUGAAGCUGCAGUACUUUGGUAAUUUUUGAAAAAACGCAGCUACAUUUUCGUCAGAAAACUUGCUAGCUAUCUAAGGCCAGAACUGGAAUCUACCAUUCGGGAACAGAAGAUACUUCUGCUACAGAACUCGUCAACGAAGGAAAAGAACAGAAUCAUUCAGAAGAAAAAUAAGACUCUCUUUGGCGUGUAUCCUGUAUGUGGGAAAUAAUUAAACAAGAGGACUGGAAUGGAGUUGUCUCUACUGGAGCUGGAAGUUGCUCAAGCUGGUAAAUGAUGCCUCCUUCCAGGACUUUAUGGUGGCUGGACUGGAAGCAGCAGGUUAAAUGCCUUCACUGGGUGUCAUCUCAGGACUGUGGGGAAAGAAGGAGAAGACAAGCUUUGAUUAAAGACACGAAGGAGAGGACCCCAUCG
Polypterus senegalus (gray bichir) is the source of this 428-nucleotide long non-coding RNA. RefSeq lists it as uncharacterized. The record is from RefSeq and is a predicted model, not a curated record. NCBI's taxonomy places the organism in Eukaryota, Metazoa, Chordata, Cladistia, Polypteriformes, Polypteridae. The transcript has 3 exons.